Molecule: ribosomal RNA, 164 nt
Filed under: Musa acuminata AAA Group (dessert banana)
Lineage: Eukaryota; Viridiplantae; Streptophyta; Magnoliopsida; Zingiberales; Musaceae
Description: 5.8S ribosomal RNA
Rfam family: 5.8S ribosomal RNA
About the family: 5.8S ribosomal RNA (5.8S rRNA) is a component of the large subunit of the eukaryotic ribosome.
Source: RNAcentral
UGGACGACUCUCGGCAACGGAUAUCUCGGCUCUCGCAUCGAUGAAGAACGUAGCGAAAUGCGAUACCUGGUGUGAAUUGCAGAAUCCCGUGAACCAUCGAGUCUUUGAACGCAAGUUGCGCCCGAGGCCAUCCGGCUAAGGGGACGCCUGCCUGGGCGUCACGC